This 477-nucleotide ribosomal RNA is filed under the name uncultured bacterium. RNAcentral describes it as "partial 16S ribosomal RNA". It matches the Rfam family "Bacterial small subunit ribosomal RNA", at positions 30 to 507 of the family's 1533-position model. The record is from RNAcentral.
AUUGAACGCUGGCGGCAUGCCUUACACAUGCAAGUCGAACGGUAACAGGUUAAGAUGACGAGUGGAGAACGGGCGAGUAAUGUAUCGGAACGUGCCCAGUCGGGAGGGAUAACUGCUCGAAAGAGCAGCUAAUACCGCAUACGACCUGAGGGCGAAAGAGGGGGAUCGCAAGACAUCGCGCGAUUGGAGCGGCCGCUAUCAGAUUAGGUAGUUGGUGAGGUAAAGGCUCACCAAGCCGACGAUCUGUAGCUGGUCUGAGAGGACGACCAGCCACACUGGGACUGAGACACGGCCCAGACUCCUACGGGAGGCAGCAGUGGGGAAUUUUGGACAAUGGGCGCAAGCCUGAUCCAGCCAUGCCGCGUGCGUGAAGAAGGCCUUCGGGUUGUAAACCGCUUUUGUCAGGGAAGAAAAGGUUCUGGCUAAUACCUGGGACUCAUGACGGUACCUAAAGAAUAAGCACCGGCUAACUACGUG